GGGUUGUGAGGUUAAGCGACUAAGCGUACACGGUGGAUGCCUAGGCAGUCAGAGGCGAUGAAGGGCGUGCUAAUCUGCGAAAAGCGUCGGUAAGCUGAUAUGAAGCGUUAUAACCGACGAUACCCGAAUGGGGAAACCCAGUGCAAUACGUUGCACUAUCGUUAGAUGAAUACAUAGUCUAACGAGGCGAACCGGGGGAACUGAAACAUCUAAGUACCCCGAGGAAAAGAAAUCAACCGAGAUUCCCCCAGUAGCGGCGAGCGAACGGGGAGGAGCCCAGAGUCUGAAUCAGUUUGUGUGUUAGUGGAAGCGUCUGGAAAGUCGCACGGUACAGGGUGAUAGUCCCGUACACCAAAAUGCACAGGCUGUGAACUCGAUGAGUAGGGCGGGACACGUGACAUCCUGUCUGAAUAUGGGGGGACCAUCCUCCAAGGCUAAAUACUCCUGACUGACCGAUAGUGAACCAGUACCGUGAGGGAAAGGCGAAAAGAACCCCGGCGAGGGGAGUGAAAUAGAACCUGAAACCGUGUACGUACAAGCAGUGGGAGCACCUUCGUGGUGUGACUGCGUACCUUUUGUAUAAUGGGUCAGCGACUUAUAUUUUGUAGCAAGGUUAACCGAAUAGGGGAGCCGUAGGGAAACCGAGUCUUAACUGGGCGUCUAGUUGCAAGGUAUAGACCCGAAACCCGGUGAUCUAGCCAUGGGCAGGUUGAAGGUUGGGUAACACUAACUGGAGGACCGAACCGACUAAUGUUGAAAAAUUAGCGGAUGACUUGUGGCUGGGGGUGAAAGGCCAAUCAAACCGGGAGAUAGCUGGUUCUCCCCGAAAGCUAUUUAGGUAGCGCCUCGUGAACUCAUCUUCGGGGGUAGAGCACUGUUUCGGCUAGGGGGCCAUCCCGGCUUACCAAACCGAUGCAAACUCCGAAUACCGAAGAAUGUUAUCACGGGAGACACACGGCGGGUGCUAACGUCCGUCGUGAAGAGGGAAACAACCCAGACCGCCAGCUAAGGUCCCAAAGUCAUGGUUAAGUGGGAAACGAUGUGGGAAGGCACAGACAGCCAGGAUGUUGGCUUAGAAGCAGCCAUCAUUUAAAGAAAGCGUAAUAGCUCACUGGUCGAGUCGGCCUGCGCGGAAGAUGUAACGGGGCUAAACCAUGCACCGAAGCUGCGGCAGCGACACUUAGGUGUUGUUGGGUAGGGGAGCGUUCUGUAAGCCGUUGAAGGUGACCUGUGAGGGUUGCUGGAGGUAUCAGAAGUGCGAAUGCUGACAUAAGUAACGAUAAUGCGGGUGAAAAACCCGCACGCCGGAAGACCAAGGGUUCCUGUCCAACGUUAAUCGGGGCAGGGUGAGUCGACCCCUAAGGCGAGGCUGAAAAGCGUAGUCGAUGGGAAACAGGUUAAUAUUCCUGUACUUGGUGUUACUGCGAAGGGGGGACGGAGAAGGCUAGGCUGGCCGGGCGACGGUUGUCCCGGUUUAAGCGUGUAGGGGGAGUGACCAGGUAAAUCCGGUUGCUUAUCAACCCUGAGGCGUGAUGACGAUGCACCACGGUGCAGAAGCAGUUGAUGCCAUGCUUCCAGGAAAAGCCUCUAAGCAUCAGGUAACAUUAAAUCGUACCCCAAACCGACACAGGUGGUCAGGUAGAGAAUACUCAGGCGCUUGAGAGAACUCGGGUGAAGGAACUAGGCAAAAUGGUGCCGUAACUUCGGGAGAAGGCACGCUGGCGUUAGGUGAAAGGACUAGCUCCUGGAGCUGAAGCCAGUCGCAGAUACCAGCUGGCUGCAACUGUUUAAUAAAAACACAGCACUGUGCAAACACGAAAGUGGACGUAUACGGUGUGACGCCUGCCCGGUGCUGGAAGGUUAAUUGAUGGGGUCAGCCGCAAGGCGAAGCUCUUGAUCGAAGCCCCAGUAAACGGCGGCCGUAACUAUAACGGUCCUAAGGUAGCGAAAUUCCUUGUCGGGUAAGUUCCGACCUGCACGAAUGGCGUAAUGAUGGCCAGGCUGUCUCCACCCGAGACUCAGUGAAAUUGAACUCGCUGUGAAGAUGCAGUGUACCCGCGGCAAGACGGAAAGACCCCGUGAACCUUUACUAUAGCUUGACACUGAACAUUGAGCCUUGAUGUGUAGGAUAGGUGGGAGGCCUUGAAGUGUGGACGCCAGUCUGCAUGGAGCCAACCUUGAAAUACCACCCUUUAAUGUUUGAUGUUCUAACUCGGCCCCAUGAUCUGGGGUGAGGACAGUGUCUGGUGGGUAGUUUGACUGGGGCGGUCUCCUCCCAAAGAGUAACGGAGGAGCACGAAGGUUAGCUAAUCACGGUCGGACAUCGUGAGGUUAGUGCAAAGGCAUAAGCUAGCUUGACUGCGAGAGUGACGGCUCGAGC
RNAcentral lists this ribosomal RNA (2380 nucleotides) under Yersinia pestis. RNAcentral's name for it is "bacterial LSU rRNA". It matches the Rfam family "Bacterial large subunit ribosomal RNA", at positions 1 to 2394 of the family's 2925-position model. Lineage: Bacteria; Pseudomonadati; Pseudomonadota; Gammaproteobacteria; Enterobacterales; Yersiniaceae. The record is from RNAcentral.